UACCAGCACCCCGAGUGGUCGGGACGUUUAUUGGGCCUAAAGCAUCCGUAGCCGGUUCUACAAGUCUUCCGUUAAAUCCAACUGCUUAACAGGUGGGCUGCGGAAGAUACUAUAGAGCUAGGAGGCGGGAGAGGCAAGCGGUACUCGAUGGGUAGGGGUAAAAUCCGUUGAUCCAUUGAAGACCACCAGUGGCGAAGGCGGCCAACUGGUCCGGCACUGACGCUGAGGUGCGAAAGCGUGGGGAGCAAACAGG
Molecule: ribosomal RNA, 253 nt
Filed under: uncultured bacterium
Lineage: Bacteria
Description: partial 16S ribosomal RNA
Rfam family: Archaeal small subunit ribosomal RNA
Source: RNAcentral